UGUCAAGUCCUCAUGGCCCUUAUGUCCAGGGCUACACACGUAAUACAAUGGCCGGUACAAAGGGAUGCAAGACUGUGAAGUUAAGCAAAACUCAAAAAAUCGGUCUCAGUCCGGAUUGAAGUCUGCAAUUCGACUUCAUGAAGUUGGAAUCGCUAGUAAUCGCGGAUCAGCACGCCGCGGUGAAUACGUUCUCGGGCCUU
This 200-nucleotide ribosomal RNA is filed under the name uncultured prokaryote. RNAcentral's name for it is "partial 16S ribosomal RNA". It matches the Rfam family "Bacterial small subunit ribosomal RNA", at positions 1183 to 1382 of the family's 1533-position model. The record is from RNAcentral.